This 1395-nucleotide long non-coding RNA is filed under the name Neogobius melanostomus (round goby). RNAcentral's name for it is "lncRNA (ENSNMLG00000008685.1)". Lineage: Eukaryota; Metazoa; Chordata; Actinopteri; Gobiiformes; Gobiidae. The record is from RNAcentral.
UGAUGCGUAAACGUAAACGAUGUCAGUAAAUUCCUGGAGUUUCUAAACAACAACAGACUGAAAGAAAAAGAAACGGAAAAGAAAUGAAAUUUUAUGUGUCGGGUGAAUCAGAUACUGAGACAUAUAUAUACGAAUAUAUACAGUCAUGUGAAAGAUAUUAUUAUGGGUAUUAUAGAUACUAGGUUUAAAAUGGAAAAACAGUCAGGGCGAUAAAAUCAAAUGCACAAUUUAUUCACCGAUAUUUUCAUAUUUUUUCCGUCUAAAUCCCGUUUACUUCCUUGACAGGAGGUAAAUACAGGUGAAUGAACUGCACAUUGUUUACCUAUUGGUCUGGUUCAAAACCAAUUAAACCUACACAUUUUUUUCCUCAGUCUUACCGUAUUUUCCGUCCUAUAAGUCACACUUUUUUUCAUAGUUUGACUUAUAUAUAAAAAUGUAUAAUUUCACGUUUGUUAUUUUCAUCCUGACAGCCGCUAGAGGGCGCUCUAGGCUUGUGUACCACUAUCUGCUACUCCUGUACCACCAACAUGUAAAAACCGGUAAUCGAGCAGCAGAAAAAUAGUGUGGAGUGGGCGAGAAACUUGUGAGGGCGAAAAGCGGAGGUUACUCUUACUGCAAUGAAGAAAACAUAAAAACCUAAUGGCGGGCUAAAAGCUCGAUGGCCACAGCUAGAGGAAAGAGUUUGCAAAUGGCUGCUUGAACAACGUGCUGCCGGGAGAGGCUUGUCAACCAGAUCUCCAAAGAAAUGCAGAGGAUGGAUACCAACAGGCCCGCACCGUGGAGCUGCAGCAGAGGUCCUCGUCUGUGGCCACUCAGCAGACCACCGUGUCCUCCGUGCCCUCACACCCCUCCACCACCGGACGUUUCCUCAGCCAUGACUGAGCCCCAUGAGGCAGACCUGCUCAGUUCAGAGAUGGUCCUUCAUCCACAUCUUAAGUAAGUUGUUGUAAAAUACCUCCACUUUAGCUCGUGCCAAUCAGAUAGGUUUAUUCCUUUCCAGUGACCGAGUGAUCUGUUUUUAUUAUUCUGAUACUUGCAUGUCCUUUGUGUCACUACAGGAGGACUGACCACAACCAUCAGUGCCUGUACAGGAGGAGCUGCCCUGUCGUCUCUGUGCAGCUCACUCUGGGUGUAAAAGGCUCUACAGCUCUGGGACUCGUGUCUUAGGCUCAUGCUGGUUCCUUCUGAGGCCCUUCAAAAAGGCCUUGGGUCAUUAUAAGAUUAGCACAAUGAUUUGAAUAGCACAAGUUUAGCUAAGGCUAACUAUAUUCGCAUAUUACUCCAUGUUUAUUUAUUUUGGGAAAAAGUUCAGCCUAUAAGCAUAACAACAAAGCUAUUGUAAUCUUGUUUUAAACUGGGUGAAAGAAUAACGGUAUUAUUGGUUUGUGUCAUUGG